UCCUCUGCUCCAAGCUAGCCUGAACUGAGCAAGAUCAAAACUCUGGUAACAUUUUUUUCUCCUUCCCAUAUUCUGGUAACUGCCAGUACCAAACCUCAUUGUGGUGUAAUCAGCCCUGGAGUAUCAGUCUGUUAAGUCUGCCUCAGGAUACCGAUAUCUCUGGUAAACUUGAGGACUCCUGAAAUUUUAGGUUUGUUUUUUGCGACUAUCAUGGUGAGGAAGGGCAGAAAGUACAGAUUGGUUUGUACAUGGCAUACUUUCAAACUCUUAGGUCCAUAAUGCUUGAAGCAUAAUACUGUACAUGGGUUUUUAUGCUGAAUUUUAUCUCUUUUGUAAGGUAACGUGAAUUGAUUAUGUAAACUAAAGUUCUUCUGUUCUUGUGCAAAUCUUACUUAAAUAAUUGAUAACCAGGAAACCAGAUUCAUAGACUCCUUGGAAACUACAACACUGUUAUCAGAAAUGCAGGCAGUUGGGCAUAGCUGACAUUUGAAAAGCCAGAUUUAUUAUACAGCCAAUUUUUAUGUUGAAGUACUCUCCCUUGGGUUGAAAAUCAGAUUUUGCUAAUUAAAAUCCCAUUUAUCUAAAUUGUAUUAGGUUUCCUACAAAUCUGAAAUGUCAAAAUCUGCAAGCAAUACUGACAAAGCCGAGUCUGCAUAGGAUUUGUGCCUUGAUGUCAGAUCCAGGAAAAACAGAAUCAGUUCUACUCAGGAACCCACAUAUAUUUUGCUAAGUGCCAACAGAAAGUUAUUCAAUGAACAGCAUUAGAAAGGCAACUUGCUUGACUUUGAGUAUCAGUCUCUCUAGAGCCUGGAGCUGACACUAGAUGUUCCAGAUGGUGCCAAGUCAAGGAUCUACUGCUGGAACCAGGUAGGAAGAUCUCUAAAAUGUUUUUUUGUUUGUUUGUUUUUGUUGUUGUUGUUUUUACCAAGUGAUUUGCAAGUCACUUCGGGGUAAAGCAAAUUUUGAAAAGAGAAGGAAAAUUCUCUUACAGUAUUAACUGAUGGCAAUUAACUAGACAAAUAACUGUAGCUAAAAGAUUGACCCCCCCACACUUAUAUA
RNAcentral lists this long non-coding RNA (1059 nucleotides) under Macaca mulatta (Rhesus monkey). RNAcentral describes it as "lncRNA (ENSMMUG00000050610.1)". Lineage: Eukaryota; Metazoa; Chordata; Mammalia; Primates; Cercopithecidae. The record is from RNAcentral.